Molecule: ribosomal RNA, 694 nt
Filed under: uncultured bacterium
Lineage: Bacteria
Description: bacterial SSU rRNA
Rfam family: Bacterial small subunit ribosomal RNA
Source: RNAcentral
AACGCUAGCUACAGGCUUAACACAUGCAAGUCGAGGGGCAGCAUGGUCUUAGCUUGCUAAGGCCGAUGGCGACCGGCGCACGGGUGAGUAACACGCAUCCAACCUGCCGUCUACUCUUGGACAGCCUUCUGAAAGGAAGAUUAAUACAAGAUGGCAUCAUGAGUCCGCAUGUUCACAUGAUUAAAGGUAUUCCGGUAGACGAUGGGGAUGCGUUCCAUUAGAUAGUAGGCGGGGUAACGGCCCACCUAGUCUUCGAUGGAUAGGGGUUCUGAGAGGAAGGUCCCCCACAUUGGAACUGAGACACGGUCCAAACUCCUACGGGAGGCAGCAGUGAGGAAUAUUGGUCAAUGGGCGAGAGCCUGAACCAGCCAAGUAGCGUGAAGGAUGACUGCCCUAUGGGUUGUAAACUUCUUUUAUAAAGGAAUAAAGUCGGGUAUGGAUACCCGUUUGCAUGUACUUUAUGAAUAAGGAUCGGCUAACUCCGUGCCAGCAGCCGCGGUAAUACGGAGGAUCCGAGCGUUAUCCGGAUUUAUUGGGUUUAAAGGGAGCGUAGAUGGAUGUUUAAGUCAGUUGUGAAAGUUUGCGGCUCAACCGUAAAAUUGCAGUUGAUACUGGAUAUCUUGAGUGCAGUUGAGGCAGGCGGAAUUCGUGGUGUAGCGGUGAAAUGCUUAGAUAUCACGAAGAACUCCGAUUG